ACCCGGCUCUAAGAGCCGUUUCGUUCGCGACCAACACAUCACUAAUUUGUUGGGUUGCCUUUCACAUAAGUCCUUAAUCACGGAGGCAAAAAGUCCACUUUUCAUCUGGAUUUACUGAAUCACAGCAUCCAUAGCUUCUGAACCAGACCACCAAUCACAUAACCAAAGACCAUCAAAUAACACAUAAUCUGAGUGUGCUCUAUCACUGGAGGCACAGCAGAGCGCUUUUUACGCUGUUUUUUUGAUACAGGAAAGUAUCAGAUGUGCCAAUAGCAUGGAAAACGUGUGUAUGUGGAAUAGAUGUAGGGCAUAUAAAAUAUGAGUAAGGGAUGAAAGAAGGGAGAGAUGCAGACGGGCAGAUGAGUAUAAAUGGAGCUGUUUGGGAAGGUUCGAGGUUCUUUAUGUAGUUUGCUGCAGAUGAGUAACAUCGUAAGAAAGCACUGUGGAGUUCACAGUCAAAAGUUUCAGUUGCCCAAUCACUGUGGACUUAUGAAGUGAAAUUAUCAUUUUUUUUGUCUCUCAAAAGAGUUGGAAGACUUUGUACCAUGUUACUCCUUCCUCAUUUGGACUUUCAAAUCAGACUUAAUCUGCAGAGUUUAAAUCCACAUGUGUCCAACAGCUCUGUGUCAUAAACCUGCUGAUCAAAUGUAUCCUGAGCUCUGACUUCUCUUUUAGAGGACAGUCUGAUGUAUGCUGAGGUCAAAGGCCCCAAAAAAGGAGAAGCCAAGAAGAAAGCAGGAAAAUCAAGUCCUGCAGCUGAUGCAGCAGUUUAUUCUGAAGUCGCGUUAGGAAGCUUUCCUGGUCAGUGAGGAGAGCUGCAGCAGCAAAAAGAAGCAUUUAAUGAAUCCACUGUUGCUCCUCUGCUGCCCAAAUAUCAGACGCGCUCACUUUUUAGUGUUUAUGAAGAUGAUAUUGAAUAAUAAUAUGAUAUAUAGUUGGUACUGUGUUUUAGCAUAAAGCACACAGAGAUGUGUCCUGUUUCAGAGUCAUGCUCUUUAUAUUUAGCUGAUAUUUUUAUUCAUUGUUGAGCUUUUGUAUAAAACUUUGAAUGUAUCCUGUUCCACAGAGAAAAAAGUCUGUGAUUUUUAGUAACUGAUAGCAGCAACUUAAAGUCAGCAGAGUUACAUUAGGAAGUGCUGGUAUAAACACCCACAAAUACUUUUACUGUCUGAGUGUAAAGAUCUAUAUUGUGUAAAAAAAUAAUUAUUUGGUAUAAAAACAUGAAAAAGCUCUGGCUGCAUCAUGAUUCAUUUAAUGUCAGAUACUUUUAUUGUAGUUUUAGUGUAUCUCGUAUUUUAAUCUGAAGCUGUGAAUGUUAUUUUUUUUUUUUAUGUUGUUUGCUGUUCUCACUUUUUCUGAAUUUUACAUAGUUUUUUAAAAGUUAUUUAUUUUGAAUGUAAAGCACAGUGAUCAGCUCUGUUGUUUUGAACAUAGUAUAUAAAUACAUUUGACCUUGACUUCACUUUCUCUUGUAUUUUAAUCUGAGUAAAGAUUAAAGAUUGUUUGGGCUUGAUUAGA
Pundamilia nyererei is the source of this 1518-nucleotide long non-coding RNA. RefSeq lists it as uncharacterized. The record is from RefSeq and is a predicted model, not a curated record. The transcript is spliced from 3 exons. NCBI's taxonomy places the organism in Eukaryota, Metazoa, Chordata, Actinopteri, Cichliformes, Cichlidae.